GACGAACGCUGGCGGUGUGCUUCAUACAUGCAAGUCGAACGAUAAGGCCCUUCGGGGUACAUAAGUGGCGGACGGGUGAGUAACGCGUAGGGAAUCUGCCUUAAGGAAGGGGACAACGUUGGGAAACUGACGCUAAUACCCUAUAUGUGGCUAGCUGAGAUGCUUGUCAUGAAAUAUUCCGGCGCCUUAAGAUGAGCCUGCGUCUGAUUAGCUAGUUGGUGGGGUAAAGGCCUACCAAGGCGACGAUCAGUAGAUGGUCUGAGAGGAUGAUCAUCCACAAUGGGACUAAGACACGGCCCAUACUCCUACGGGAGGCAGCAGUAGGGAAUUUUGCGCAAUGGGCGAAAGCCUGACGCAGCAACACCGCGUGAGCGAUGAAGCCCUUCGGGGUGUAAAGCUCUGUCGGCAGGGACGAAUAAAUGACGGUACCUGCAAAGGAAGCAUCGGCUAACUACGUGCCAGCCGCCGCCGUAA
Molecule: ribosomal RNA, 474 nt
Filed under: uncultured bacterium
Lineage: Bacteria
Description: partial 16S ribosomal RNA
Rfam family: Bacterial small subunit ribosomal RNA
Source: RNAcentral